This 465-nucleotide ribosomal RNA is filed under the name uncultured bacterium. Its description in RNAcentral is "partial 16S ribosomal RNA". It matches the Rfam family "Bacterial small subunit ribosomal RNA", at positions 338 to 795 of the family's 1533-position model. The record is from RNAcentral.
CCUACGGGAGGCAGCAGUAGGGAAUCUUCCACAAUGGGCGAAAGCCUGAUGGAGCAACGCCGCGUGGGUGAAGAAGGUCUUCGGAUCGUAAAACCCUGUUGUUAGAGAAGAAAGUGCGUGAGAGUAACUGUUCACGUUUCGACGGUAUCUAACCAGAAAGCCACGGCUAACUACGUGCCAGCAGCCGCGGUAAUACGUAGGUGGCAAGCGUUAUCCGGAUUGAUUGGGCGUAAAGGGAACGCAGGCGGACUUUUAAGUCUGAUGUGAAAGCCUUCGGCUUAACCGGAGUAGUGCAUUGGAAACUGGGAGACUUGAGUGCAGAAGAGGAGAGUGGAACUCCAUGUGUAGCGGUGAAAUGCGUAGAUAUAUGGAAGAACACCAGUGGCGAAAGCGGCUCUCUGGUCUGUAACUGACGCUGAGGUUUGAAAGCGUGGGUAGCAAACAGGAUUAGAUACCCGAGUAGUC